This 194-nucleotide ribosomal RNA is filed under the name uncultured bacterium. RNAcentral describes it as "partial 16S ribosomal RNA". It matches the Rfam family "Bacterial small subunit ribosomal RNA", at positions 1309 to 1500 of the family's 1533-position model. The record is from RNAcentral.
AACUCGACUGCAUGAAGCUGGAAUCGCUAGUAAUCGCGGAUCAGAAUGCCGCGGUGAAUACGUUCCCGGGUCUUGUACACACCGCCCGUCACCACCAUGGGAGUUGGUAACGCCCGGAAGUCAGUGACCUAACCGAGAGGGAGGAGCUGCCUAAGGCGGGACCGAUAACUGGGGUGAAGUCGUAACAAGGUAAC